UGGGGAAUAUUGCACAAUGGGCGCAAGCCUGAUGCAGCCAUGCCGCGUGUGUGAAGAAGGCCUUCGGGUUGUAAAGCACUUUCAGCGGGGAGGAAGGCGUUAAGGUUAAUAACCUUGGCGAUUGACGUUACCCGCAGAAGAAGCACCGGCUAACUCCGUGCCAGCAGCCGCGGUAAUACGGAGGGUGCAAGCGUUAAUCGGAAUUACUGGGCGUAAAGCGCACGCAGGCGGUCUGUCAAGUCGGAUGUGAAAUCCCCGGGCUCAACCUGGGAACUGCAUUCGAAACUGGUAGGCUAGAGUCUUGUAGAGGGGGGUAGAAUUCCAGGUGUAGCGGUGAAAUGCGUAGAGAUCUGGAGGAAUACCGGUGGCGAAGGCGGCCCCCUGGACAAAGACUGACGCUCAGGUGCGAAAGCGUGGGGAGCAAACAGG
Molecule: ribosomal RNA, 429 nt
Filed under: Chloroflexota bacterium
Lineage: Bacteria; Bacillati; Chloroflexota
Description: Chloroflexi bacterium partial 16S ribosomal RNA
Rfam family: Bacterial small subunit ribosomal RNA
Source: RNAcentral